Siniperca chuatsi (mandarin fish) is the source of this 5321-nucleotide RNA transcript. RefSeq lists it as uncharacterized. The transcript is spliced from 2 exons. The record is from RefSeq and is a predicted model, not a curated record. NCBI's taxonomy places the organism in Eukaryota, Metazoa, Chordata, Actinopteri, Centrarchiformes, Sinipercidae.
UUUUAAGUUAAAAAACCUGUGUGACUGCGGCUCUUUAGCGCAUCAAAAGAAAAAGCCGUGAGGAUUCUAGACCCUAUCAGGCAAGAGAAGAAUUCGAGUGGGACGGUGGAAUCCCCUUUUAGUGAGACUAAAAGUUAAAACUCCAUGGUAAAUUAGUAGGCCUCGAAAGUGUGCGAAAAAGACGUCUGUAAAUAAACAAAUAAAAGUGUGAAUGAUUGUGUGAGUGAACGAGAAACAGAAAUACCUUUUGGUAUUUUUCUCUCAUACCAAACCAGUAGGAAACAAAGCAAUAAACCUCCCAGGAAGCAAAGGCAAGAAUUCUCCACUCGAAAGAGUUGAAGUGAGAAUUACCAGGAAAGGUAUUUUAAUUAUUGCCCCACUGAUAACAUCCCAACGUUUAGAACACCCUAGGUGAUAACCCAGCGUUGGACCAAAAUACAUAAAAAACAGCUCCAGUAUGGGCAAGAGUCAAAGUAAGCCCAAAACUAGGGAGGAUUUACAGUGUAAAGAUUGGAAGUAUAUAGAAAAACAGGAUCCUGAUAAAAUAAAAUAUUUGGAUAAAUGGGUAAAAGAUUACGGGUUUAAUGGUAAACUAAACAUCAAAACAAUUAAUCUACUACAGGAAACAAUACUAAAAAACACCAACAAAGAUCCUAAAAAGAUGAAAAAGGCAGGUUAUGAGGAAACCAAAUAUUGGAUGAAAGUAGCUGAAAAACGUGAAGCUGGAGAAAAAGACAGAAAAAAGAGGGAAAAAAUAGGAGAAGUAGAUGAGAAAACUGAAAAAAACAAGUAAUGUUUCACAGACAGGAGGAUGAUGAGACAGGGCCGGUAGGAAGAAGGGCAGAACGGAGAAAUGAGGAAGGUGCCUCAGGGGGACCUCCUCCUACAGCUCCACUAUACCCUGAUAUUCCCCAAGAGGACCCCCCUGAGUAUGAUACCACGCCUCCCAGAGCACUAGGAUCAACCCGAGGUACUGCAGGCCUCGGAUGGUCUAAGAAAUUGGGAGGACUUUUUUCCCCAACUAGUCCUCAAGCUAUAAAUAUGAAAGUAGUAGAUGAGUAUCCUAUGAUACAAGUGGCUAAUCCAAACACGAAUGAAGGCCAACCACCAACAAUCCUUGUUUAUAGAACUUGGAACAUGAAUGAUGUUAAAAAAGCCUUAGAGGGCAUAACUCCACACAAAGAAGAUGUCACUCAAUUUGUAAUUGACAUGGAAAAUGUGCGAAAAUCCUAUCAUCUAAAUGGACAAGAAGUCCAACAAAUCUGGAUGUGUGCUCUGGGACCAGAUUGGCAUAACGUUGGAGGAGAUUGUGCUCUGAACACAGCAGGUGAUGGUCCCCUUCCAUGGGACAGCCAACAAAUGGCAGUAGGAGUAAACGGUCUGGCAACCAGAGCCACAGCCAGGUUUAGACAAAAAGCAAAUUACACUGAAAUAGGCAGAGCAAGACAAAAAGACGAUGAAACUUUUGAUGACUAUAGACACCGCAUGACUACAGUGUUUAAAAUCCAUUCGGGACUGACUCACGACAAUAAUGACCAAGGAGCUUACAGACAACAGUUGAAAAAUGCUUUACAUGCAGGCUCAAAAGACGCAGUCAGAAGCUGGGUGCAGAAGCACUACAUUGGACUGUCUACUGAUACCCUUGAUGAGUACAUUAAUCAUGCUUUGCACGCAGAAAAAGUUGCUAAAGAAAAAAAGAAAAAGACAGUAGGAACGUUUUUUGGUGAGGUAGAGACUGAGGAAGUGUUUUACCAUGACCAGAAUAGAGAGAGGGGAAGAAGCAAUAGAGGGCGUAGAUUUCAUAGAAAAGGACAGAGAGGAGGCAGAGGCAGAGGAGGUUUUGGACAGAGAAACAGGCAGAGAAACAGACAGAGAGAAACAGGAUGUUGGAACUGUGGGAAAGAUGGACACUUCGCUGUAGAUUGUCAAGAGACUAAACAGAAAAGCUUAUGAGCUUCACACUGUGACAGUUAAUAGUUGAACGUUUGGAUGGUGUUAUUAUUGAAAGAAGUGUUUUUCUUUAGAAAGUAGCAUGUUGUGGAGGGUUCAAAGUGUUAAGAAUGAGAGAUUUAGGAUUAAGUUUUAAUGGGGGAACGUAUUCAUGAAAGUGAUGAAGAAAGCAUAUGUUGACUAACGUCUGAGUGUUUAUGGUAAACUAGAGAUAUCCAAAGUAAUAUUCUGUAGCUCUGUAGUCGCCUCAAGAAAACUGUGAACAGGUGCACACAUUGAAAAUACAGAAUGACUUAUUAUUCACCUGCAUAGGUCUGAAUGUGUUUUAAACUGAGAGUAUUGAUUCAUCUAGAUUUAAAUCUUUGAGUAACUGGUGGCUGUUGUUGUGGCCAGUAUUAAUGUUCCAUUAAUAAGUGAUACAGUGAAAAAUAUUAUAAAACAAAUAAUAUUGUGCAUUAAUGAAAAGUGACCAAAGAUAAGGUAUUAAAAGCAGAACAAUUACCCUCACACUACUCUGCCCAAGCUGCAGAACUAGUGGCAUUAACAGAGGCAUGUAAAUUUAUGAAGAAUAAAGAUGUUACUAUCUAUACAGAUAGUAAGUAUGCCUUUGCUACAGUUCAUACUUUUGCACAGUAUUGGCAAAAUAGAGGAAUGAUCACAUCUACAGGGAAACCAGUAACACAUGCAGACCUCUUAUCUAACUUACUCAAGGCAGUAGUGUUACCUAAACACCUCGCAGUUUGUAAAUGUGCAGCUCAUACCUCAGGGACAGAUCAAGUAUCACUAGGGAAUGCAUUUGCAGACAAAACAGCUAAACAAGCAGCCGAGGGACAGAUAAAAGUGCUUAUGCUGACCUCGGACACUGAUAUGACUGAUACAACACUCCAAGACAUGCAACAACAAGCACCACAAAAAGAAAAAGACUUGUGGGCAAAGCACGGAGCAGAACUACAGAAUGACAUCUAUGUAUGACUAAAAAAAAAAACAAUCCUUCCACACAAUCUAUAUAAAUGGGCUGCAAUAUUGAGCCAUGGUGUUACACAUGUCUCAACAGGAGGGAUGGUAUGGAUUUAACACUUAUUCAAAAAAAUUUUGUAGAGCAUGCUUUACCUGUGCUAAGCACAAUCCUCAGGGAAACUUAAGACCUAGGAGAGGGCGUUUCCCUUCACCACAGUAUCCGUUUCAAGCAAUACAUAUGGAUUUUAUAGAGUUAAAUCAGAGUGAAGGAAAAAAGUAUUGUCUGGUCAUAAUAGAUGCCUUCUCUAAAUGGGUAGAGCUGUUUCCAACCAAACACCCAGACGCAUUAACAGUGGCAAAAGCGUUAUGUAAAGACAUAAUACCCCGUUAUGGCAUUCCGGAAAAAACUUUAUAGCGAUAAUGGAGCACAUUUUGUAAACCAAUUGAUAAAAAAGAUAGGAAUAAUGUUUCAUAUCGAUUUAAAAAAUCACUGCGCAUAUCAUCCUCAAAGUGCAGGAUUAGUGGAACGCAUGAAUGGCACUAUAAAAAACCGGUUAAAGAAAUGUAUUGAAGAAACAAGGAGACCUUGGACUCAGUGCAUAGAUUUAGUGAAAAUGUACAUCAAUAUUACAGCAACUUCAGGUUUAACUCCAUAUGAAAUGUUGUUUGGUAGACCAUACAGGCUGCCACAGUUUAAAAAUUAAUGGGAGCUGAGUGGAGAAACCAACCUAGCAGACUAUAUGAGAAAAAUGUUAGAAAAACAAAAAGGAAAACAAGCUGAUGAAAAUCCUUCUGUUUCUCAACAGGAGAUCCAGUUAGUGGGACCAGGCGAUUGGGUGCUGAUACGAAGCAUUAAGAGAAAACAUUGGCACUCUCCCAAGUGGGAAGGGCCUUAUCAGGUAUUGUUGAACACUCCCACAGCCAUUAAAAAUAGCUGAAAGAUCCACGUGGGUACAUCUUACUCAUUGCAAAAAGGUCAUCUCCGACAGUUCCGCAGAGAAAAGUGACUCACAGUCUGAUAAUAGGGUGGACUCAGGUGUGUAGAACCUGAGUAGACUCGAAAGUCAGUGAAGUAUUUCCAAGACACCAGACUCAUUAAAGGACACUCUCGGGGAAGAUGGCGACUAGAUGGAUAAGCGAUGCCAUUAGGUGCUGGGGAGUGACAAUCAUAUUCAUAUUAAUUUUUUAUUUACCUGGUACUUAUGGGAAGCUCCUGGGACUUCCCUAAAUAGCACUCAUGUUCCGCCCACUUCAUCCCAAGGUGUCACCCAACCACAUGCUAGAGUAAAACGUAGAGUACCACACAAAUGACCAGUACAAUGCCCAGCGAGUGGAGGCAGAAACGCUCCUCAUCCUGGCGCACCGAUAUCGACCCUACAUAUAUAGAUGCUAUAGGAGUUCCUCGCGGCGUACCAGACGAGUACAAGAUAGCAGAUCAGGUGGCUGCAGGGUUUGAGUCCCUGUUCUGUUGGUGGUGCACGAUUAACAAAAAUGUAGACCGAAUCAAUUACAUCCAUUACAACGUACAGAAAUUGGGCAAUUGGACACAGAGUGGGUUUGAGGCUGUUCAUGGACAGCUUUCCUCCACAUCACUGAUGGCAUUCCAGAACCGCAUAGCUCUUGACAUGUUGCUUGCAGAGAAAGGAGGGGUGUGUGCUAUGUUUAGAGAGCAAUGUUGCACCUUCAUUCCUAACAACACUGCAGCAGAUGGCAGUCUCACCAAAGCCAUAGACGGGUUGAAAACUCUAAAUGCAAUCUCACCCAUGGAGGACCGCUUUACCCAGAUGUAUCCGCUCCUGCAACAAAACCGAGAUAACGAUGACAACACAGAUGAAGAAUCAGACCAUUGGCCUGAUUUGUUCCCUGAUCCAGGUGACUAUGAGUCACCCCCGUAAGUAAACACAACGUGCACCCUGAGUGUAAACAUUUUGACAGACUCAUAAAAAUGAUCUUGCAGUCGAAAAUCUAGCGAAGAGACUGAUUGAGUGAUAUGAGAAUUUGAGCACAAAAUGUGAUAAACAGGAGGGAAAUGUUAGAAUAAAAUGUAUAUAAGUUAUCCCAUUUAUGUUCUUAGUGGCCUUUUCCUUCCACAGCAAUGCAGUGUGUGUUAUUAAACUUGUGUCUGUGAGAAUUACAGGAAUGGCACCCUGCUAUCUCAUGACUGGCAGGGCAGGCUGACACCGAACCAAGAUAGUCUCACGGUUGCUCCCAAGGCCGCUCUCACGAGAUAGAGCAGUCUCAACAUACCUUGUUUUUUAUUAAGCAUUAUACACCUCCCCCACCCCUUAGAGAACUAUGUAACAGGGAAUCUCCUAAACUGAAUAAAAGAGAGGAGGCUGCAUAGAUGCACUUCAGAGUGAGUAGGAGAUGUAACUGAAUGCAUCUAUGCUUACUCUCCUCGCGAGUAAAAACUU